RNAcentral lists this ribosomal RNA (274 nucleotides) under uncultured bacterium. Its description in RNAcentral is "partial 16S ribosomal RNA". It matches the Rfam family "Bacterial small subunit ribosomal RNA", at positions 523 to 796 of the family's 1533-position model. The record is from RNAcentral.
AUACGGAGGCUGCAAGCGUUAUCCGGAAUCACUGGGUUUAAAGGGUGCGUAGGCGGCUAAAUAAGUCAGAGGUGAAAUCUUCCUGCUUAACGGGAAAAUUGCCUUUGAAACUGUAUAGCUUGAAUUAAGUUGAGGUUAGCGGAAUGUGACAUGUAGCGGUGAAAUGCAUAGAUAUGUCAUAGAACACCAAAUGCGAAGGCAGCUGGCUAGGCUUAUAUUGACGCUGAGGCACGAAAGCGUGGGGAGCGAACAGGAUUAGAUACCCUAGUAGUCC